AGGGAAUAUUGCGCAAUGGGGGAAACCCUGACGCAGCGACGCCGCGUGAGCGAUGAAGGUCUUCGGAUCGUAAAGCUCUGUCCUUGGGGAAGAAGGUCUUCGGACUUGACGGUACCCAAGAAGAAAGCACCGGCUAACUACGUGCCAGCAGCCGCGGUAAUACGUAGGGUGCAAGCGUUGUCCGGAAUUAUUGGGCGUAAAGAGCUCGUAGGCGGUUUGUCGCGUCUGCUGUGAAAUCCCGAGGCUCAACCUCGGGUCUGCAGUGGGUACGGGCAGACUAGAGUGCGGUAGGGGAGAUUGGAAUUCCUGGUGUAGCGGUGGAAUGCGCAGAUAUCAGGAGGAACACCGAUGGCGAAGGCAGAUCUCUGGGCCGUAACUGACGCUGAGGAGCGAAAGGGUGGGGAGCAAACA
RNAcentral lists this ribosomal RNA (411 nucleotides) under uncultured Microbacteriaceae bacterium. Its description in RNAcentral is "bacterial SSU rRNA". It matches the Rfam family "Bacterial small subunit ribosomal RNA", at positions 356 to 774 of the family's 1533-position model. Lineage: Bacteria; Bacillati; Actinomycetota; Actinomycetes; Micrococcales; Microbacteriaceae. The record is from RNAcentral.